GAUGAACGCUGGCGGCGUGCCUAAUACAUGCAAGUCGAGCGAACAGACGAUGAGCUUGCUCCUCUGACGUUAGCGGCGGACGGGUGAGUAACACGUGUAUAACCUACCUAUAAGACUGGGAUAACUUCGGGAAACCGGAGCUAAUAGCGUAUAAUAUAUUGAACCGCAUGGUUCAAUAGUGAAAGACGGUUUUGCUGUCUCUUAUAGAUGGAUCCGCGCCGCAUUAGCUAGUUGGUAAGGUAACGGCUUACCAAGGCAACGAUGCGUAGCCGACCUGAGAGGGUGAUCGGCCACACUGGAACUGAGACACGGUCCAGACUCCUACGGGAGGCAGCAGUAGGGAAUCUUCCGCAAUGGGCGAAAGCCUGACGGAGCAACGCCGCGUGAGUGAUGAAGGUCUUCGGAUCGUAAAACUCUGUUAUUAGGGAAGAACAAAUGUGUAAGUAACUAUGCACGUCUUGACGGUACCUAAUCAGAAAGCCACGGCUAACUACGUG
RNAcentral lists this ribosomal RNA (497 nucleotides) under uncultured bacterium. Its description in RNAcentral is "partial 16S ribosomal RNA". It matches the Rfam family "Bacterial small subunit ribosomal RNA", at positions 28 to 507 of the family's 1533-position model. The record is from RNAcentral.